Molecule: ribosomal RNA, 235 nt
Filed under: uncultured bacterium
Lineage: Bacteria
Description: partial 16S ribosomal RNA
Rfam family: Bacterial small subunit ribosomal RNA
Source: RNAcentral
UGAGUAACCUGCCCUUAACUCUGGGAUAGGCCUGGGAAAUUGGGGCUAAUACCGGAUAUGACCGCUGACCGCAUGGUCUGGUGGUGGAAAGAUUUAUCGGCUGGGGAUGGGCCCGCGGCCUAUCAGCUUGUUGGUGAGGUAAUGGCUCACCAAGGCGACGGACGGGUAGCCGGCUGAGAGGGUGACCGGCCACACUGGGACUGAGACACGGCCCAGACCUCCGUACGGGGAGCAG